UGAUUCAAUGCACUGAAGCAAGAUGUGU
RNAcentral lists this non-coding RNA (28 nucleotides) under Mus musculus (house mouse). Lineage: Eukaryota; Metazoa; Chordata; Mammalia; Rodentia; Muridae. The record is from RNAcentral.